CGUUUAGGGGUAAACCUGAGAAACCCGAAAGGUCGAAGGGAGAAAUUCAUUCGCGUUUCGCCGUCGGCGUGAGACGGUCGUGUGACGGGGGACGUUCGCGUCUUCCGCUCCUUCCGUUUUUCGAUCCGAUAGCGAACGCGUGCACUUUUCUCCUGGUAGGACGUCGCGAUCCGUUGGGUGUCGGUCUACGGCUCGCGGUGGAGCCCGGAUGUUCUUCGGAACGUUCGGACCCGCGUGUCCCGGCUGACUCGCUCGACGGUAUACGAAAGGUUUAAGGCCGCUUUUAAAGCGUUCGGCUCGUAGCAAGCGCGUCAGAUGUGUCGGCGAUCGGACCUGGUGCCGGUUCUGACCUCUGGCGACUGUUGGCCGCGAAGUUCUCGAACAGACCUUAGACCGAUCUGCGACGCUAUAGCUUUGGGUACUUUCAGGACCCGUCUUGAAACACGGACCAAGGAGUCUAGCAUGUGCGCGAGUCAUUGGGAAUCAUUAAACCUAAAGGCGCAAUGAAAGUAAAAGUCCGCCUCGCGCGGACUUAGGGAGGACGGGCGGUUUACCCUUAAAAGUGGCCGCCCCGCACUCCCGGGGCGUCUCGUUCUCAUCGCGAGAAGAGGCGCACCAAGAGCGUACACGCUGGGACCCGAAAGAUGGUGAACUAUGCCUGGUCAGGACGAAGUCAGGGGAAACCCUGAUGGAGGUCCGUAGCGAUUCUGACGUGCAAAUCGAUCGUCGGAACUGGGUAUAGGGGCGAAAGACUAAUCGAACCAUC
RNAcentral lists this ribosomal RNA (766 nucleotides) under Sitona sp. 1 SM-2016. Its description in RNAcentral is "eukaryotic LSU rRNA". It matches the Rfam family "Eukaryotic large subunit ribosomal RNA", at positions 406 to 944 of the family's 3401-position model. Lineage: Eukaryota; Metazoa; Arthropoda; Insecta; Coleoptera; Curculionidae. The record is from RNAcentral.